CAGGCAUGCGAGUGAGUGAGCUUUCCAAAGACUUUAACCCCAGCCUUUGAGCUGCCAGAGCUGACAUGAAGUAGAACAGAGAUGAGCUGAGCUUUGCCCCACCUGCAGAUGUAACUUCCCACAUACACCCCUUUUGGCUGAGCUGUAUGGCCAUAAGCGUAGAGACUUGCAGCUGUAUGUGGCCGUGAAUGAGAGACCCAGAGAUGGAAGCUUCACAGCAUUUGUGGCAGUAGCGGCAGAAAUGCAUCACACAUUUGAGUCCCUAGAUGGCCUUGUGGAGAAACGUCUACCUGCCACCCUGGACUAUUAGUCAAAUUCUUAACCACUGCAGUUCCAUCACAGACAUGAAAAAGAUGCAGGCAAGAUAUGGAGUGUCUUCAUGGGGGAGAUUCAGAAGCCAUGGAUGGUGUAGAAAGAAAUAUUCUUCAAACAAAACCUUAUGAGGAACAGAACCAUAGCUCCUGAAACUGUGUGAAAGCAAGAGAAAGAGAGUCUUUUGUCAAUAGUCUGUCCACACAUAUCCAGACCCAACCCAAAGUUACAACCUGACCUCCACGAUCACUUUCCCUCACAGGGACCGCACUAUGAGGAACACGCCAAAGUUGAGAAAGGGUAAGAUUCUUGCCCAACCUCAAGACCAGUGCUAUUCUCUUCACGCCAAGGCAGGAAGAUCACUGAAGCCCAGAAGUUCGAGGCUAAAAUGAGCUAUGAUUGUGCCAACGCACUUCAUCCUAGGCAACAUAGCAAAACCCUAUCUCUAAAAUAUAAACAAGUAAAAUAAAUUUAAAAAUAAUUGUGGCGUGUGGCAAUUAUUGAUAAUGCCUCAUAGCCCCAAAUUCAUCCCUGGUUGCCUUCCCUGUGAAAAUAAAUCUAGGCCCUUCACCUUUAUUUUUUUCUUUUUUGGCUAUCAUGAUGCUAAACUUAUCAGUAGAGGGCAAUACAAAGACAUUUCAAGAAGGCAGAGGCUUCCCUCCUGGUAGUGCACUUUUUCCCCACUGUCUAUUCCACGUGGUUUUCACCAUUGUCAAGGGCUUAGAGGGUACAGCUUUCACAGUGUGUUUUCUACAGUUCUUGACUCAGGAAACAAUGGCAUAGUGGAAGCCCCAGAAAAAUCUGACCUGUGCGCUAGCCCUGUUAACUGCUGCCCACAACCCUGAGUGAUAUGAAUGUAAGGGGUACUGUGGAGCUGAUAAUCAGCAAGCUUGUGGCAUGACCUCCAUCCUGUGUAGCCCAGAGCCACCCUACCCAAGCCACAAAUAGAAAAGCUCUGGGUUUUGAUGCUGACUCUCUAUGGUCCCACUUCUUAGCCUAAGAUCACCUGUGCCCUAGAGAGUUGUACCUACUUCGCCUGGUGACUGUGGACCAGCUCUGCAGGAAGCAAUUUACCAAAUGUCUCUGCGAUCCAGUGGUCAGCAAUUACACCUUCUUCAGUGUGGUCAUAGCCUCUUUCCAAAUUUGUCCUUCCUUAACUACUCUCCCUGUUUUCAUGUUUAUAGUUGUUCUCUUAUCAUUGUUUAAUAAUUUUUAUGUUAAAUUUCCCAUGUUUAAAUUACUAAGUCGAUAUUGUCUCUUGAUUGUACCCAGGCCAAUAAAUGGUACUAUAAAUAUUGUGUUUAUAUUUCAAUAUACAUUGUUUUAAGGUGACUCCCAUGGAGUUUAUAAGCAAGAUAAUGCUUGAGCAAAAUCUAGUACAUUGCAAUAACCUAGGUGACCACAUCAUUUCUCGUGCAAUAAUCAUUUUUAUGUCUCAUAAGAUAUAUGAAUAUAUUAUAAAUUAGAAACAGGAAUAAUUAAACAGAAAACAAUAGCAUAUGACAUGGCAAAGGCAAUAAAAUAAAUAUAUAGGCAAUAUAGGAGCAACUAUGAAAGACUAGGACUUGCAAUAUCAUAUAAAGGAAUUUAAGAACCGAAAUUGAGUAGUCAUUCUUGUUAACAGUGUAUUCAUUUUGUUUUCAUAAUCUUAUUAUCAUGCUGUAACUGUGCUAUAAAAGAGAUAUUGACAAAGACAUGCUUCAGUUAAGGCAGUUUACAUAUGAGCAAAAAAUUUUGGAAACAUUGGAAUUGUUAGUAUAA
RNAcentral lists this long non-coding RNA (2073 nucleotides) under Homo sapiens (human). RNAcentral's name for it is "HSALNT0111736". The record is from RNAcentral. Lineage: Eukaryota; Metazoa; Chordata; Mammalia; Primates; Hominidae.